AGAGACCAGACCAGACCAUGUGACUCAGUGGGGAGAUUCAGGUAGAGACCAGACCAUGUGACUCAGUGGGGAGAUUCAGGUAGAGACCAGACCAUACCAGACCAGACCAUGUGACUCAGUUGGGAGAUUCAGGUAGAGACCAGACCAGACCAUGUGACUCAGUGGGGAGAUUCAGGUAGAGACCAGACCAUGUGACUCAGUGGGGAGAUUCAGGUAGAGACCAGACCAGACAAUGUGACUCAGUGGGGAGAUUCAGGUAGAGACCAGACCAUGUGACUCAGUGGGGAGAUUCAGGUAGAGGCCAGACCAUGUGACUCAGUGGGGAGAUUCAGGUAGAGACCAGACCAUGUGAGUCAGUGGGGAGAUUCAGGUAGAGACCAGACCAUGUGAGUCAGUGGGGAGAUUCAGGUAGAGACCAGACCAGACACCAGACACGACUUAAAGUGGAUUGUUUGUUAAAAGUCCCCCAGAUAGAACAGGGAGCAACAGCAACAUAUUCUCUAGAUAGAACAGGGAGAACUACCAAUACGUCUUCAGAAACAUGUCACAUGUCUUAAGUAGCACCACUCGUCAGGAGACACGCACGCACGCACACACACACAC
Molecule: long non-coding RNA, 603 nt
Organism: Oncorhynchus tshawytscha (Chinook salmon)
Lineage: Eukaryota; Metazoa; Chordata; Actinopteri; Salmoniformes; Salmonidae
Source: Ensembl